RNAcentral lists this transfer RNA (67 nucleotides) under Acanthopleura loochooana. RNAcentral's name for it is "tRNA-Leu". Lineage: Eukaryota; Metazoa; Mollusca; Polyplacophora; Chitonida; Chitonidae. The record is from RNAcentral.
GUUAAAGUGGCAGAAAUAGUGCAAUAGAGUUAAGUUCUAUAGAUGGACUUAAGUAGUCCCUUUAGCU